This 370-nucleotide transfer-messenger RNA is filed under the name bacterium. It matches the Rfam family "transfer-messenger RNA". From Rfam's summary of the family: Bacterial tmRNA, also known as 10Sa RNA or SsrA, is named for its dual tRNA and mRNA-like properties. Its role is to liberate the mRNA from a stalled ribosome. The record is from RNAcentral.
GGGGGCGACACGGCUUCGACGGGUAAAAUGUUAGCCUAUAGUUGCAUGCCGAGGUUCUCUAGUAACCUCGUAAAUCAUCUAGGGAAACUGAUAAGUGCCGAUUACGGUUACACUGCUGCUGCUUAAUUGACAGUAGCUAUUUCUUAACUAGCGUGUUCACCGCCGGUUAAAGAAAUAUCAUUUAAGUGAACUAGUCUAAAAAAUGGCCUGCUAUUUUUAGAUAAAAAUCUGCUUUGGCAGAUAUGUAGGAUCGCCUAAAAAAGUUUGUUUGUUUAUCAAUUUUAGGUUAAAAACUAAAAAUAAACUAAGCAUGUAGAUACUAUUGGAAAACUUUACGCGGACGUGGGUUCGAUUCCCACCGCCUCCACAA